GCGGCGGAGUUAAAAGCUGAUUUCCCACCAAUAAAGAAGGACUACAUUUUAAGACACACAAAAAAAUAUUCCUAAAAGAAAACGAAACUGAUUGAAAUAAUAUACAGAAAAAGAAAGAAGAAAGAAAAUAGAUCCAGGGGAUAUAGAGACUAGACAAUAGUUCUAAAACCCUAUAAAAGAAGAAAGAAGAAGAGUUGAAAGCCUCGGCGGAUUCCAUGAAAAUUUUUAUGUUUUUUUUUCUCGUUGGGUAAUUACUAGAGGCUCAAAGGGUUGUAUGGGAUCUGAAAAUACAGUCGAGGAAUUGACACAAGUGGAGUUCAUGAAAUUUAUAGUAGUCAUCCAGCAUAGCACUGCAUCAAGCAACACCAUGGCCCAUGUGCUGUGAACUUCAGCAAAGGUCAGCGAAUCUGCUACUCUUUUCUGGUA
Molecule: long non-coding RNA, 426 nt
Organism: Penaeus indicus
Lineage: Eukaryota; Metazoa; Arthropoda; Malacostraca; Decapoda; Penaeidae
Exons: 3
Source: RefSeq, a predicted model, not a curated record